GAUGAACGCUGGCGGCGUGCCUAAUACAUGCAAGUCGAGCGAACAGACGAGGAGCUUGCUCCUCUGACGUGAGCGGCGGACGGGUGAGUAACACGUGGAUAACCUAUCUAUAAGACUGGGAUAACUUCGGGAAACCGGAGCUAAUACCGGAUAAUAUAUUGAACCGCAUGGUUCAAUAGUGAAAGGCGGUUGUGCUGUUACUUAUAGAUGGUUCGGCGCCGCAUUAUCUAGUUGGUAAGGUAACGGUUUACCAAGGCGACGAUGCGUAGCCGACCUGGGAGGGUGAUCGGCCACACUGGCACUGAGACACGGUCCAGACUCCUACGGGAGGCAGCAGUAGGGAAUCUUCCGCAAUGGGCGAAAGCCUGACGGAGCAACGCCGCGUGAGUGAUGAAGGUCUUCGGAUCGUAAAACUCUGUUAUUAGGGAAGAACAAAUGUGUAAGUAACUAUGCACGUCUUGACGGUACCUAAACAGAAAGCCACGGCUAACUACGUG
Molecule: ribosomal RNA, 497 nt
Filed under: uncultured bacterium
Lineage: Bacteria
Description: partial 16S ribosomal RNA
Rfam family: Bacterial small subunit ribosomal RNA
Source: RNAcentral